RNAcentral lists this long non-coding RNA (316 nucleotides) under Elaeis guineensis (African oil palm). Its description in RNAcentral is "long non-coding RNA (EGUI_LNC069541)". Lineage: Eukaryota; Viridiplantae; Streptophyta; Magnoliopsida; Arecales; Arecaceae. The record is from RNAcentral.
ACAAGAGAAGUACCUACCCGUGUCUUAUAGGCAGUGAUUGAUGGACCAGUGGCAAUAACUAUCCCAAGAUAACCGACCCGUAUUAGAAUGCAUAGCCAAAUUCGAUGAAUUCCAGAUGCGGUGUGGUGUUAAUGAGGUUAGAUUUGUGACCCUUUCUACAUUUAGAGCCAGGCUACAUGAGGAACUGUAGCAUGAACUUUAUUUACGUGAAGUUAUGACCUUAGAUCAUGCAUACCAGAUGGCCCAGGAUAUUGAGAGGUACCAUUGUCUAAUAAUUCAGAGGAUCGAGCCUAUUCGAUCAAUACCCUCGGGACCU